RNAcentral lists this transfer RNA (85 nucleotides) under Chthoniobacterales bacterium. Its description in RNAcentral is "tRNA-Leu". It matches the Rfam family "tRNA". Rfam says of the family: Transfer RNA (tRNA) molecules are approximately 80 nucleotides in length. The record is from RNAcentral. Lineage: Bacteria; Pseudomonadati; Verrucomicrobiota; Spartobacteria; Chthoniobacterales.
GCCGGGGUGGCGAAAUUGGCAGACGCGCCAGACUUAGGAUCUGGUUCCGCAAGGAGUAGGGGUUCGAGUCCCCUCCCCGGCAGCA